This 301-nucleotide ribosomal RNA is filed under the name uncultured bacterium. Its description in RNAcentral is "partial 16S ribosomal RNA". It matches the Rfam family "Bacterial small subunit ribosomal RNA", at positions 509 to 807 of the family's 1533-position model. The record is from RNAcentral.
CAGUAGCCGCGGGAAUACGUAGGUGGCAAGCGUUAUCCGGAAUUAUUGGGCGUAAAGCGCGCGCAGGCGGUUUCUUAAGUCUGAUGUGAAAGCCCACGGCUCAACCGUGGAGGGUCAUUGGAAACUGGGGAACUUGAGUGCAGAAGAGAAAAGCGGAAUUCCACGUGUAGCGGUGAAAUGCGUAGAGAUGUGGAGGAACACCAGUGGCGAAGGCGGCUUUUUGGUCUGUAACUGACGCUGAGGCGCGAAAGCGUGGGGAGCAAACAGGAUUAGAUACCCCUGUAGUCCCUGUCUCUUAUAC